Molecule: ribosomal RNA, 242 nt
Filed under: uncultured bacterium
Lineage: Bacteria
Description: partial 16S ribosomal RNA
Rfam family: Bacterial small subunit ribosomal RNA
Source: RNAcentral
UGGGUAACCUGCCUCAAAGAGGGGAAUAGCCUCCCGAAAGGGAGAUUAAUACCGCAUAAUAUGUUUAAGUCGCAUGACUUUAACAUCAAAGGAUUUUCUUUUAGAAAUUCCACUUUGAGAUGGACCCGCGGCGCAUUAGCUAGUUGGUGAGGUAACGGCUCACCAAGGCAACGAUGGGUAGCUGGUCUGAGAGGACGAUCAGCCACACUGGGACUGAGACACGGCCCAGACCUCUACGGGAG